AGCGAACGCUGGCGGCAGGCCUAACACAUGCAAGUCGAACGAACCUUUCGGGGUUAGUGGCGGACGGGUGAGUAACACGUGGGAACGUGCCUUUAGGUUCGGAAUAACUCAGGGAAACUUGUGCUAAUACCGAAUGUGCCCUUCGGGGGAAAGAUUUAUCGCCUUUAGAGCGGCCCGCGUCUGAUUAGCUAGUUGGUUGAGGUAAUGGCUCACCAAGGCGACGAUCAGUAGCUGUUCUGAGAGGAUGAUCAGCCACAUUGGGACUGAGACACGGACCAAACUCCUACGGGAGGCAGCAGUGGGGAAUCUUGCGCAAUGGGCGAAAGCCUGACGCAGCCAUGCCGGGUGAAUGAUGAAGGUCUUAGGAUUGUAAAAUUCUUUCACCGGGGACGAUAAUGACGGUACCCGGAGAAGAAGCCCCGGCUAACUUCGUG
This 434-nucleotide ribosomal RNA is filed under the name uncultured bacterium. RNAcentral's name for it is "partial 16S ribosomal RNA". It matches the Rfam family "Bacterial small subunit ribosomal RNA", at positions 29 to 507 of the family's 1533-position model. The record is from RNAcentral.